This 254-nucleotide ribosomal RNA is filed under the name uncultured bacterium. Its description in RNAcentral is "partial 16S ribosomal RNA". It matches the Rfam family "Bacterial small subunit ribosomal RNA", at positions 524 to 776 of the family's 1533-position model. The record is from RNAcentral.
UACGGGGGGAGCAAGCGUUGUUCGGAUUUACUGGGCGUAAAGGGCGCGUAGGCGGCCACCGCAAGUCGACUGUGAAAUCUCCGGGCUUAACCCGGAAAGGUCAGCCGAUACUGCGGGGCUAGAGUGCAGAAGGGGCAACUGGAAUUCCUGGUGUAGCGGUGAAAUGCGCAGAUAUCAGGAGGAACACCGAUGGCGAAGGCAGGUCUCUGGGCCACUACUGACGCUGAGAAGCGAAAGCAUGGGGAGCGAACAGG